AUGCAAGUCGAACGAGCGAGAGGAGGUUUACUUUCUCAAGCGAGUGGCGAACGGGUGAGUAACGCGUGAGGAACCUGCCUCAAAGAGGGGGACAACAGUUGGAAACGACUGCUAAUACCGCAUAAGCCCACGACCCGGCAUCGGGUAGAGGGAAAAGGAGCAAUCCGCUUUGAGAUGGCCUCGCGUCCGAUUAGCUAGUUGGUGAGGUAAUGGCCCACCAAGGCGACGAUCGGUAGCCGGACUGAGAGGUUGAACGGCCACAUUGGGACUGAGACACGGCCCAGACUCCUACGGGAGGCAGCAGUGGGGAAUAUUGCACAAUGGGGGAAACCCUGAUGCAGCGACGCCGCGUGGAGGAAGAAGGUCUUCGGAUUGUAAACUCCUGUUGUUGAGGAAGAUAAUGACGGUACUCAACAAGGAAGUGACGGCUAACUACGUGCCAGCAGCCGCGGUAAAACGUAGGUCACAAGCGUUGUCCGGAAUUACUGGGUGUAAAGGGAGCGCAGGCGGGAAGACAAGUUGGAAGUGAAAUCCAUGGGCUCAACCCAUGAACUGCUUUCAAAACUGUUUUUCUUGAGUAGUGCAGAGGUAGGCGGAAUUCCCGGUGUAGCGGUGGAAUGCGUAGAUAUCGGGAGGAACACCAGUGGCGAAGGCGGCCUACUGGGCACCAACUGACGCUGAGGCUCGAAAGUGUGGGUAGCAAACAGGAUUAGAUACCCUGGUAGUCCACACUGUAAACGAUGAUUACUAGGUGUUGGAGGAUUGACCCCUUCAGUGCCGCAGUUAACACAAUAAGUAAUCCACCUGGGGAGUACGACCGCAAGGUUGAAACUCAAAGGAAUUGACGGGGGCCCGCACAAGCAGUGGAGUAUGUGGUUUAAUU
RNAcentral lists this ribosomal RNA (883 nucleotides) under uncultured bacterium. Its description in RNAcentral is "bacterial SSU rRNA". It matches the Rfam family "Bacterial small subunit ribosomal RNA", at positions 55 to 951 of the family's 1533-position model. The record is from RNAcentral.